This is a long non-coding RNA of Gossypium arboreum, 662 nucleotides long. RefSeq lists it as uncharacterized. The transcript has 2 exons. NCBI's taxonomy places the organism in Eukaryota, Viridiplantae, Streptophyta, Magnoliopsida, Malvales, Malvaceae. The record is from RefSeq and is a predicted model, not a curated record.
CAAGGUAGGCAAAUUGGGCGCAAAUUGAAGGCUGUGCGCAAGGGGAAGGAUUUGUUGCGAAAUUCCCCAUUUUUGAGUGGUAAUGCGCAAAUUGGGCCUGUCAAAUGAGUCACCUGGUGGACCUUACUCCAUAAAACUGUGCCAUUUUAUUAAAUGGUCAUUUAAGACCCCUUUUCUUCUAUUUCUUUUCCCCAAACGCAGCCUCCAUUUUAGAUCAAAAGAAAUUCCAGCCUUUAAAAUCAAAUUUUUUAGGGUUUCCUCCACUUGACUGCCAAACCACCAUGAUUUUAGGUGAUUACCAGUAAGCGAGACGUGCCCAAUCUUGCCGUUAAAGGAACUCGACCAGAUCUAAAAGGAUUCGGUACAGAGUCUGUUGGCAUGCGCACGGGGUGGGGGCGUGGCGUACGAGGGCUGUGGAGGUAUGGGACUGCUGUAGUGGAGGUAUGGGUCUAUUGCCCAGUUGCUGUUGAGGCGCAGGAGAGAGGGGUGACUUAGGGUUUGCCGAAACUUGGCUCAAUUUUUGGGGCCGUUUGGGUCUGUUCCAGCUAUUGGGCCGUUGUAUUUGGGCUAUGGGGCAUUGGGUAUCAAUAUUGGUUGUAAUAUUUGGACCUUUAUGACAGAUUAUUAGUUUGGUUUCAUUCUUUGGACUUUUGGUUUAAUAA